This 794-nucleotide ribosomal RNA is filed under the name uncultured bacterium. RNAcentral's name for it is "bacterial SSU rRNA". It matches the Rfam family "Bacterial small subunit ribosomal RNA", at positions 60 to 849 of the family's 1533-position model. The record is from RNAcentral.
AGUCGAGGGGCAGCAUGGGAGUAGUAAUACUUCUGAUGGCGACCGGCGCACGGGUGCGUAACGCGUAUGCAACCUACCUGUAACAGGGGGAUAACACUGAGAAAUCGGUACUAAUACCGCAUAACACUAUGAGAGGCAUCUCUUGUGGUUGAAAGUUUCGGCGGUUACAGAUGGGCAUGCGUUGUAUUAGCUGGUUGGUAAGGUAACGGCUUACCAAGGCGACGAUACAUAAGGGGACUGAGAGGUUAACCCCCCACAUUGGUACUGAGACACGGACCAAACUCCUACGGGAGGCAGCAGUGAGGAAUAUUGGUCAAUGGACGGAAGUCUGAACCAGCCAUGCCGCGUGCAGGAAGACGGCUCUAUGAGUUGUAAACUGCUUUUGUACAAGGGUAAACCUGAAUACGUGUAUUCAGCUGAAAGUACUGUACGAAUAAGGAUCGGCUAACUCCGUGCCAGCAGCCGCGGUAAUACGGAGGAUCCAAGCGUUAUCCGGAUUUAUUGGGUUUAAAGGGUGCGUAGGCGGAUUGAUAAGUUAGAGGUGAAAUGUCCGAGCUUAACUCGGGAACUGCCUCUAAUACUGUUGAUCUAGAGAGUAGAUGCGGUAGGCGGAAUGUAUGGUGUAGCGGUGAAAUGCUUAGAGAUCAUACAGAACACCGAUUGCGAAGGCAGCUUACCAAUCUAUAUCUGACGUUGAGGCACGAAAGCGUGGGGAGCAAACAGGAUUAGAUACCCUGGUAGUCCACGCAGUANACGAUGAUAGCUCGUUNUCGGCGAUACACAGUCGGUGACUA